AAAAGGAAGGAAAAGGCCUUGAAAAGGCCCAGGAGCGAUGGGGCUGGGGGCAUGGUUUCCCCUACCCUAAGAAGUCCGAGGAUAAAAAGGCUCAGAAGCAACAGUGAGAGGUUUUGAGUCCCCAUUUCACUCACUGCUUCUUGAGCCCCAUGUUCGGCGCCAAAAAUGUUGCAGGACUUUUCCUUAGUUUAGCUAAAGACAGGGUUCUUGUCUGUCCCACAGCCACACACAUUUAGGCUUGCAGACGAUUUAAAGUGUGAGUAAAGUAGGGUUUAUUGGGUGAAAAGGGAAAAAAAUGAUCCCCUGCUAGAGCACUUCUCACCCAUCAUUCAAAUACUAGAUUUCACACAGGAAAAGGCGGGGCCAGGCUCCUCCCCACUGCAAAGGGCGUGAACUUCCUGAGGCUCCACCUCAGUGGGCAGGCUGGUUGGAGUUUCUCCAGGAACCUCCUCCCACCAGGCUGUCUCAAUAAGACCUUAUUAUUGUCUUUAUUUGAAGAUUAUGUAUGAUCUCAGGAGAUGUGUAUGGGUUCAAGCUGACAAGGGGUGUACUUGUGAUGGUUAAUACUGAGUGUCAACUUGAUUGGAUUGAAGGAUACAUAGUAUUGAUCCUGGGGGUGUCACUGAGGGUGUUGCCAAAGGAGAUUAACAUUUGAGUCAGUGGGCUGGGAAAGGCAGACCCACCCUUAAUCUGGGUGGGCACAAUCUAAUCAACUGCCACUGUGGCUAGAAUAUAAGCAGGAAGAAAAAUGUGAAAAGAGGCCUAACUUCCCAGCCUACAUCUUUCUCUUGUGCUAGAUGCUUCCUGCCCUCAAACAUUGGAGUCCAACUUCUUCAGUUUUGGAACUCAGACUGGCUCUCCUUACUCCUCAGCCUGCAGAUGGCCUAUUGUGGGACCUUGUGAUUGUUGUCUUGCUCUGCCAUGCUGGAGUACAAUGGCAAUCAUGGCUUAACUCAGCCUCAACUUCCUGGACACAACUGAUCCUCCUGCCUCAACCUCCCAAGUAGCUGGAACUACAG
RNAcentral lists this long non-coding RNA (1019 nucleotides) under Homo sapiens (human). RNAcentral describes it as "HSALNT0191620". The record is from RNAcentral. Lineage: Eukaryota; Metazoa; Chordata; Mammalia; Primates; Hominidae.